AAUAAUAAUAACAAUUAUUAUUAUAUUUAGUUAAGCAGAAGAUAGCACAUCAUGAAGGGGAUUAUCUAAUAAUUAUCAUCAUCAUCAUCACAUUAUAAAUAUUAGAAAAUUAUAUAAAAAAUUGUCCAUAAAAUGUAUUAUCUGAUAUAAAUUUAUAUCAAUACUAAAUGUUUAUUGUUGUAUUUGUUUUUUUAUAAAAAAUAUUUUUUAUGGGGGGGGUCAAUUCUUGUGAAGAGUAAAAUCUUUGUUGAGCUUAUUUUGGAGUAAAUAUUAGUUUCAUAUCAUGUUCAGACUUGAAACGCUGAAUUUUAGUUUUUGAAUAAAACCUGUGUUGGGCUUAUUUGGAGUCAAUAUUAGUUUCAUAUCGUGUUUCAAAAGAGAAAUGUCACAGUUUGGAUUUUCCAAAACCUGACACUGAAAAAAAUGUGUGCAAGUCAGUAAUAGUUAUUAAGCAGAGAUGUUUUGGAAAACACCAGCCUGCAUUUUAAAUGUUUGCUGUUAAAUGUUUAGUGUACUUAGAGCUUCUGCUGUCCAAAAGUGUGUGGACAGUACAUGUAAGUUAUGAGUCCCGGGCAACAGAACGCCUGUGUUGAAUCCAAACCUCUUCCUGUGUUGGCCUGAACCAAUAUUUACUCUAAGCCAAGAUUGCUCUGCUCACAGUAAAAAGAGCUUAAGUAUUGCUUAGAGACUAGUGCUGCCAAAGAAAAAACACACACCCCAGCAGCACGGACAAGAGGUCAUCCUUGACGAAGCAAGAAUGUAAUGCUAUUUUGCUUCCCUCUCAACUGCAAUACAGUCCAUAUAACAGAGACAAAUCAAAGCUGCUCGAAGCAUCACGUUCAACCUGCCGAGACCAUUGUUGAAUGUGUAAACAUGUUACAGGCUAUCAAACUGCAAGUAUACUUCACAAGACUCUGUUGCUGUGCAGUGGUUGAAGACAGUGGGCUGUCAGUGAACCUCGGGUCAUUGGAGGAACAGAAGGAAGCUGAGGUUUAUCAUCGUGUUGUGACUGUCUCCUCCCUUCAUCCACAGGACACACAAAAUCAGAAGAAAGAAACUCAUGCAUGUUUGGAACAACUUGAGGAGCUCCCAGAUGGCACAGGCGGUCCACAGACCUGCACCAGUCCUGGUGAGGCAGUACCAAGGCAAAGAGGAACCAGGGGUCCAGAAAUGCUGGAGUCAGCUUUUAAAACUUCAGUCCGGUGUGAAGGGGCACAAUAGAAGACGAAUGUGUUUAUGACAGCAGCCGCUGAGAUGGCAUAUUCAUCAUUUAGUUUGAAGGCUGGGCUGAACCAGUAGGACAAGCUUGGAUAAAUGCCUGCAUCCCAUAAGUACAGGUGAAGACAUUUUUCUGCACACAGAAGGAGGAGGAAGUGAUGUCAGAGUGAUGUCAGUAAGGCUGCCCUCUGUCAAACAAGAUCAGGAGUCUGUCAGCCUCAGCUCUGUUGAAGGAGAUACAGAGUCUUCUGCUAAUGAUGUGUUUUAACAGUGAUGACCCUGUGAAACCUCUAGCAGGAAACUGCUAAGUGCCUGAAAGGAAGGAGAUGUUCUCAGCCUUAAAUUAUUCACAUCACAGAAACUCGUUUUUGGAUGACAGUCAGUGCAAGAGAUAUAAUGAACUCUCUCUAAUGUCUCUUGCAUUGCUGUUAAAUAAAUCCAUAUGUGCUGUUGUUUGCUGUGCGACUGUAAUAGUACAUUUUUAAACAAAUAAAUUGUAAACAAAUGUG
Cyprinus carpio (common carp) is the source of this 1727-nucleotide RNA transcript. It is a transcript of the gene named protein TALPID3-like, with no coding region annotated. NCBI's taxonomy places the organism in Eukaryota, Metazoa, Chordata, Actinopteri, Cypriniformes, Cyprinidae. The record is from RefSeq and is a predicted model, not a curated record. The transcript has 6 exons.